GACGAACGCUGGCGGCGUGCUUAACACAUGCAAGUCGAGCGGAGCGGCGAACGGGUGAGUAACGCGGGAGUAACUGCCCCCCUCUCUGGGACAACAGUUGGAAACGGCUGCUAAUCCCGGAUAGUGGGGGAUGAUUCGCGUCUUAUCGGCUUGUUGGUGGGGUAGUGGCCUACCAAGGCGACGAUGGGUAGCCGGCCUGAGAGGGCGACCGGCCACCUUGGGCUGAGAUACGGCCCAAACUCCUACGGGAGGCAGCAGUGGGGAGUAUUGCACAAUGGGGGAAACCGUGAUGCAGCAGCGCCGCGUGCGGAAUGACGGCCUUCGGGUUGUAAACCGCUUUCAGCCAUGACGCGGUAGUGGCAGAAGAAGCACCGGCUAACUACGUGCCAGCAGCCGCGGUAAUAC
This 405-nucleotide ribosomal RNA is filed under the name uncultured bacterium. RNAcentral describes it as "partial 16S ribosomal RNA". It matches the Rfam family "Bacterial small subunit ribosomal RNA", at positions 28 to 526 of the family's 1533-position model. The record is from RNAcentral.